AUUGAACGCUGGCGGCAUGCCUUACACAUGCAAGUCGAACGGCAGCACGGGGGCAACCCUGGUGGCGAGUGGCGAACGGGUGAGUAAUGCAUCGGAACGUGUCCUCUUGUGGGGGAUAACCAGUCGAAAGAUUGGCUAAUACCGCAUGAGAUCGAGAGAUGAAAGCGGGGGACCGCAAGGCCUCGCGCGAGAGGAGCGGCCGAUGCCGGAUUAGCUAGNGGUGGGGUAAAAGCCUACCAAGGCGACGAUCCGUAGCUGGUCUGAGAGGACGACCAGCCACACUGGGACUGAGACACGGCCCAGACUCCUACGGGAGGCAGCAGUGGGGAAUUUGGACAAUGGGCGCAAGCCUGAUCCAGCCAUGCCGCGUGUGUGAAGAAGGCCUCGGUGUAAG
Molecule: ribosomal RNA, 394 nt
Filed under: uncultured bacterium
Lineage: Bacteria
Description: bacterial SSU rRNA
Rfam family: Bacterial small subunit ribosomal RNA
Source: RNAcentral